GUGAGCCACUCCCUUUGGCAGCACAUACACAGAAACUAGAAUGUUACAGAGAAGAUUAGCAUGGCCUCUGCGCAAGGAUGACAUGCAAAUUGGUUCUCACUGUGA
This is a small nuclear RNA of Mustela putorius furo (domestic ferret), 105 nucleotides long. The record is from Ensembl. Lineage: Eukaryota; Metazoa; Chordata; Mammalia; Carnivora; Mustelidae.